AUCCUUUUGUAGUUCGUAAGUGUGAUGAUUGGGUGUUCCCUCUGUUGUGUGACAUGUGCCCCCCUCAAACCUCGUUACAACCUCAGCAAUUACCCAUCUGAUG
Small nucleolar RNA from Ailuropoda melanoleuca (giant panda), 103 nucleotides. The record is from Ensembl. NCBI's taxonomy places the organism in Eukaryota, Metazoa, Chordata, Mammalia, Carnivora, Ursidae.